This 231-nucleotide ribosomal RNA is filed under the name uncultured bacterium. RNAcentral describes it as "partial 16S ribosomal RNA". It matches the Rfam family "Bacterial small subunit ribosomal RNA", at positions 524 to 776 of the family's 1533-position model. The record is from RNAcentral.
UACGGAGGGUGCAAGCGUUAUCCGGAUUCACUGGGUUUAAAGGGUACCUAGACAGCAUUAUGAGCCUUACUUAAGGGACUAUUUUGCUAGAGUUUUAUAUACAGGAGGAUAUUUGUAGUAUUGAAGGUGUAGAGAUAAAAUUUGUUGAUAUCUUCAGGACGGAUAAAGGUGAAAACAAACCUCUAUGUAUAAACAGACGUUGAGGGACGAAGGCAUUGUGUAACGAACAGG